CCAGAAGAGAAGCUGGUUGGAUUUCUGGGCAGAGACAAGCUCUUGGGGGCUUCCUUGCUCCCACUAAGCAAUUAUUUUAGGGCAUUCACCCCCCCUUUCUGCUUAUUUCCCACAGGGAUUGUGGUGCUUGGAGGAUCCCCCCACCCUUAAUUGAGAGCAAAGCUGCUGCUGAGGUUGGACGGGGGGGAGUGGCCAGAGCCUUGUCCUCUGCUGGUGUGCCUGGCCGGGGCGAGGGACGGCAAGGAGAGCAAGGAGAGCUGCAUGACUAAUGUUAUAUGCUGGGGAUGUCCCGGUUCAAAAAGCAGCAGGGUUGGGCUGAGUGAGAAACCAGGCCCUGAGGUGACUCACUGAAAGCUGGGGCUGCUGCGUGGGUCAUGGAGAAAGAAUUGGAUUAUCGGGAGCUGCUACCCAUCGUUGCCUGGAGAAGCCACACUCCUCUCAUGGCAGGCUGUCCUUUGUCCCCUCCAUCAGACAACCGCCUGAAUUGCUUGGAGAGCUGAGGCCUUGCCAGGAAUGGCACAGGAGUGAUUUUCCUCCCUCCACCCGUGCGGGCCGGUUGGUUGGAUUACAGAAACGACAAAGGAUAUCGGUGUUUUUCACCUGCCCAGUCCUAGGUACAAAGUUUAAGAGGAGGUGAGUGAAGUUGCUUUUAGAUUUGGCUGCUAUGAGCCAAUUUCUCGUGUUUUGAGCAUGCUGCUUGUGUGUUUGUAAAAGUGAGAAUGAGCGUUAAU
This 731-nucleotide long non-coding RNA is filed under the name Aquila chrysaetos chrysaetos. RNAcentral describes it as "lncRNA (ENSACCG00020002422.1)". Lineage: Eukaryota; Metazoa; Chordata; Aves; Accipitriformes; Accipitridae. The record is from RNAcentral.